Molecule: ribosomal RNA, 496 nt
Filed under: uncultured bacterium
Lineage: Bacteria
Description: partial 16S ribosomal RNA
Rfam family: Bacterial small subunit ribosomal RNA
Source: RNAcentral
AUGAACGCUGGCGGCGUGCCUAAUACAUGCAAGUCGCGCGAACAGACGAGGAGCUUGCUCCUCUGACGUUAGCGGCGGACGGGUGAGUAACACGUGGAUAACCUACCUAUAAGACUGGGAUAACUUCGGGAAACCGGAGCUAUUACCGGAUAAUAUAUUGAACCGCAUGGUUCAAUAGUGAAAGACGGUUUUGCUGUCACUUAUAGAUGGAUCCGCGCCGCAUUAGCUAGUUGGUAAGGUAACGGCUUACCAAGGCAACGAUGCGUAGCCGACCUGAGAGGGUGAUCGGCCACACUGGAACUGAGACACGGUCCAGACUCCUACGGGAGGCAGCAGUAGGGAAUCUUCCGCAAUGGGCGAAAGCCUGACGGAGCAACGCCGCGUGAGUGAUGAAGGUCUUCGGAUCGUAAAACUCUGUUAUUAGGGAAGAACAAAUGUGUAAGUAACUAUGCACGUCUUGACGGUACCUAAUCAGAAAGCCACGGCUAACUACGUG